Molecule: unclassified non-coding RNA, 438 nt
Filed under: Exallage auricularia
Lineage: Eukaryota; Viridiplantae; Streptophyta; Magnoliopsida; Gentianales; Rubiaceae
Description: partial external transcribed spacer
Source: RNAcentral
AGACAAGCAUAUGACUACUGGCAGGAUCAACCAGGUAGCAUUCCUCACGAACAUCGGACCGCACAGUACUAGGCCGGAACGGAACCGAGCGUCGUUUGAAAUUAGCGUUAAGCCUUAUGUGGACAAAUAGGAGUCUACGACACCGUGCCCUUCGCGUUUUCCGCAUCCCGGAAAACAAACAAACACUCAUUCGCCUCGGCAAUAACACUAAGAGCGUUAGCCGGGGAUAACGAGCGUCGUCGUGAGUUUCACCCUCGACCACACCGAACUAACGGGCAGCCUCAGGCGAACGGGGGAUGAUUGCCAACCGAAUUCCAUCAUGUAGGUACGCAGCACAGGAAACCGAAAGAACGGCCAAUACAAAUUGUACCGAUAAAUGAAGAGGAACGCACGGUAGGACGUCGCCGCACAAGGCAGGGAUCCAACCAACCCAUACAA